AAAAACAUGGUUUUUUGUAAAAAAUUUAAAAUUAGUUCUGCUCUAUGAUUAUUUUUAAUUAAAUGGCUGCAGUAUUUUUGACUGUACAAAGGUAGCAUAAUAAAUUGUUUUUUAAUUAAAAGCUUGAAUGAAUGAAUUAAUAAAAUUUAUACUUUAUUAAAUAAAAUUAUUUGAAUUUAAUUUUUAAUUUAGAAAGAUUAAAUUUUUAAAUGGGACGAGAAGACCCUAUAGAAUUUUAUAAAAUUUAUAAAUAAAUUUUAUUAUUUAAAAGAUUUUAUUUAAUUGGGAGGAUUAUUAAAUUUAAUUAACUUUAUUUAAUUAUUUUACAUUUAUAAAUGAUUUAAAGAUUUUAUUAAUAUUAAUUUUAAGAUUAAAUUACCUUAGGGAUAACAGUAUAAUAUUAUUGGAAAGCUCUUAUUUAUAAUAAUGUUUAUGACCUCGAUUUGAAUAAGAGGAG
RNAcentral lists this ribosomal RNA (457 nucleotides) under Apenesia sp. SNU-HY00012. Its description in RNAcentral is "partial 16S ribosomal RNA". Lineage: Eukaryota; Metazoa; Arthropoda; Insecta; Hymenoptera; Bethylidae. The record is from RNAcentral.